CCCAGACUCCUACGGGAGGCAGCAGUGGGGAAUAUUGCACAAUGGGGGAAACCCUGAUGCAGCGACGCCGCGUGAGUGAAGAAGUAUCUCGGUACGUAAAGCUCUAUCAGCAGGGAAGAAAAUGACGGUACCUGAGUAAGAAGCCCCGGCUAACUACGUGCCAGCAGCCGCGGUAAUACGUAGGGGGCAAGCGUUAUCCGGAUUUACUGGGUGUAAAGGGAGCGUAGACGGCGAUGCAAGCCAGAUGUGAAAGCCCGCGGCUCAACUGCGGUAGUGCAUUUGGAACUGUAUGGCUGGAGUGCAGGAGAGGCAGGCGGAAUUCCUAGUGUAGCGGUGAAAUGCGUAGAUAUUAGGAGGAACACCAGUGGCGAAGGCGGCCUGCUGGACUGUAACUGACGUUGAGGCUCGAAAGCGUGGGGAGCAAACAGGAUUAGAUACCCGGGUAUAA
Molecule: ribosomal RNA, 448 nt
Filed under: uncultured bacterium
Lineage: Bacteria
Description: bacterial SSU rRNA
Rfam family: Bacterial small subunit ribosomal RNA
Source: RNAcentral